UAAAAACUGGAGAGAGAAAGAGAAACUGAAAAAGGAAGAGAAGUAUCGACACUGGGUUAAUUCGCAUGCUUUCCUCCAUCGCCGAUCACCACCGCCGUAACCGUUACCAUUGCCGACAGUCGCCGUCCAUCAUCCUACUCCUUGGAUCUCAUUUCCAUCCGAUCCACCUCAGAUCCGCCCGUUACUGUUCUUGUUACAACAUCACACCUCCGCCGCUUGUACCGCCGCCGUUCUUGCAUGUAGACGCACAAGAUCGCCGCUUUCGGUUUUUCUUUCACUUAAAAGUGUCUUAUACUCCAUCAAGAAACAGAAAAAGAAUUGAGUUAUCCAUAAUCAAUAUCGAAAACAUGAAAUCCACUUCAGGUUCAAGCAGAGGCCUCCUCUACCUUGGAAAGCAAUCAAUUACUUAGUCAGCAUAUUUCUCAUCAUUUUGCUUAUUGGUUAUAUAUAGCCAUAAAACGAGUUAGCCUGAUUCUAUCAAUACCGUUAUAAUCCUCUUAAAAGGAGAGAGGUUUGCAAGGAAGGAAGAGAAUGUGGCAAGAAAUCAGCCCAAUUACAAGCCUCCACCAAGGCUUCUUCAGUAUGAAAUCUCACUCUAAUCAUCCUAAUCGAAGAAAUGAAGUGCCGUCUGCAAAUGCUGCUGCAAGUCAAGCUGCAAAGAGGCCCUCUUCUUUUGGUGGCCCUGCUCAUGAUGAAAAGGUGUCAUUUAAUUCUUGCAAGUUACAUGGUAUACGAGGUUGAAUGCUCAGAUCAUUUGAAACAAAAGCUGGCUGAAAGCAUGAUUGCUCAUAAGGAAGAGAUCUUUUCCCACCCCAAAAGAAUCUGGUUUGUAGCAGAGACAGAAAAGAAGGUUGCUGCAAAAGCAGCAAAGGCAUUUAUUGCAAGGCGAAGUUGUGGAACAUGCGGCAGGCCGGAAUGAUCCCUCAAAGUGCUAGUUCCUGGUUGGGUUCCUAUGAAGAUGGUGUUGAGUAUUAUGUGUGCCUCAACGGCCACAUGCUUGGGACAUGCACUUUGUUACCAUUGUCUGAUUCAGAAGAUGUAUCCGCAUCAGAGGAGGAAUAGUUAACUGAUUCUUAGAUUGGCAGCAAGUCCUGACAAAAAGGUUGAACUUCUGUGUCAGAUUUCUCUUCAAGUGCGCCAUUACCAUUUAGCUUUGAGCUUUAGGUUGUGGUGUAUCAAAUCAUGCCAGCAUUUCCGAGGAAGGAUCAUGAUGCUGCUAACCAACAUUUCUCAUGAAUUUUGGCAUGAAUGGUUGUUAGUCAUUACUGCUAACUAUGUGAUAUACCAUGUAUCAAGUGAGACUUGUACCAUAUCCAGUCACCAAUAGAGGUGAUUAAAUGAGCAGCUCCUAUCACCUGCAAAGAGAGCUGGUUAAAAGCUGAAGAGCCGAAUUAUAGCAGAGCAAUCCAUACAUAAAUGGUCUCAUAUAAUUGAGCGAUUGAGAACUUUGCUUCAUUCUCUUUGCUGUAUUAUUGUAUUGCAUCUGAGUUGGGCUCUAUUUGUUUUCUUUUGAUCAUUAUCUUUGUGCUAAUCAUUGAUGUAACAUAGAUUUAUAGUGUUUGUGUGGUUUGAAUUUGUAUUAUGCUUUAUUACAUUUCAAGAGAAUUUUGUGUAUAAAUAUUUAAGUAUAUUGAAUUUAAUGAAAUUCUUCAUUUUGUAGUAA
RNA transcript from Arachis duranensis, 1663 nucleotides. RefSeq lists it as uncharacterized. Lineage: Eukaryota; Viridiplantae; Streptophyta; Magnoliopsida; Fabales; Fabaceae. The record is from RefSeq and is a predicted model, not a curated record. The transcript has 9 exons.